CACCUAAAUUAAGCAAUAUACUACCACUACCCAAAUUUACCCUUCCCCAUUUCAGCCUAUUCAUUUCUGGGUUUCACCGAACGGGAAAACACUUCGAUCCUUCAUCUAUUUCUCCGAUCGUCCUUCUUUCUCUCACAUUCUUAGCUAGUUCUAGGAUUUCAUUAUUGUAUUAAUUUAACUUCCACCUUUUUUUAGCUAUUUGGCACGAUUCAAAGGCAUCCUUAAAUUAGACAAAUUGGGGUUUACAACCUAGAUAAGUAUUUUUCGUUUUUUGUUCUUAAAUGUAGUAGGCUAAUUUUUUUUUUUCGAAUGUAGAUGAUUUUCUGCUUCUUAUCGGUUAUUGCUAGCAAUUGUUGUAUUACAUAGUUUCAGUUCGUAAAUUUGGAUUUUUUUAAAUAUUUAUCUUAUGUCCGAUUCCUCUUGCAUGUUGUUCUAUUGUUGAUUUUGUGAUUUAUCUACAUUAUUUUGUAGUAAUAUUUAAGUUUGUAUUUGAAUUUCAAUUCCUCAAAUACUGAUCUGUAUUUUGUGCAGAAAUUUAUGUUUUCUUAGAUCCUUUUAACACUCUUUGUAAUAUUUCCUUUAUCUAGGUUGGGAAUUCAAAAUUAGAUAAGUAUUUUCCUAAAUUUUUGUAUCAUAACACUAAUAGCUGUUCCAUAAUUUGUAAUCUAGAAGUUCCGCUGCUUAUUUGUUUUUAUUACGAAUUUAUGUACUACCCAGGAUCUAACUAUGGUUGUUGCAUAUUUGCUAUGAAAAGCCAGUCACAUUCACUUAGACCUACUCUGAUUCUGAAAAUGCAUUCACAGUGUAAUGCUGUGCAUUGGUAAAAGUUUUAGACAGUGACACUAUUUUUAAAUUACAGCUCUAGUAUUGCGCAUAGGUAAUUUAUUAUUCAAUAGCUUACCUUACAAAUUUAAGUCUGAUAUGAUCUUUAGCUUGAUAUCUGACAACACUGUAAUAAACCACUCUUGCAGGUGAAGGUACAGUUUGUUAUCAUUCAAUAUUCAAAUGUAUGGAAGAACAACCUUCAUUCCUCACACUUAGCAUUCUGCUCAGGGGUAUAAUGUGGAAAGAGACGUACCUGUUCAUCAUGGAAGACAAUCUCUUGGAUUUGAUAUCAGUUGAACCUUUCCUCUCCAUCACCAAGUAUGUACAUACAAUCCUUACCUUGACAGUGCUCCUAUUUUUUGAAGGUUGAUAAAUCACUUGUAAGAACGUACACCCCUCUAUUGGAAGACCACUAUUUAGGUCUGAUAAAUUUGUAGUUCUGCGAUUGUUUGUAUUCACUUAUUAAACCUGUAUUAUAUAGGCCUGAGUUUGUAGAUAGGCCAAGAGUUUCAGACCUAAAUGGUCUCUUCAAGACUCUUAAUUACCGGAGUUUUGAAUGUUGUCUUCAAGAAUCGAAUCGAUCCAUUCAUUAAACAAAAAAUGUGCUGCUUCAUUAA
Molecule: long non-coding RNA, 1442 nt
Organism: Ipomoea triloba (trilobed morning glory)
Lineage: Eukaryota; Viridiplantae; Streptophyta; Magnoliopsida; Solanales; Convolvulaceae
Exons: 2
Source: RefSeq, a predicted model, not a curated record